RNAcentral lists this ribosomal RNA (253 nucleotides) under uncultured bacterium. Its description in RNAcentral is "partial 16S ribosomal RNA". It matches the Rfam family "Bacterial small subunit ribosomal RNA", at positions 524 to 776 of the family's 1533-position model. The record is from RNAcentral.
UACGGAGGGUGCAAGCGUUAUCCGGAUUUACUGGGUUUAAAGGGUGCGUAGGCGGGCAUGUAAGUCAGUGGUGAAAUACCGGAGCUUAACUUCGGAACUGCCAUUGAUACUAUAUGUCUUGAAUAUUGUGGAGGUAAGCGGAAUAUGUCAUGUAGCGGUGAAAUGCAUAGAUAUGACAUAGAACACCGAUUGCGGAGGCAGCUUGCUACACAAAUAUUGACGCUGAGGCAAGAAAGCGUGGGGAUCAAACAGG